CCUACGGGAGGCAGCAGUGAGGAAUAUUGGUCAAUGGCCGAGAGGCUGAACCAGCCAAGUAGCGUGAGGGAAGACGGCCCUACGGGUUGUAAACCUCUUUUGUCCGGGAGCAAAGCGAGUCACGUGUGACUCUUUGCGUGUACCGGAAGAAAAAGCAUCGGCUAACUCCGUGCCAGCAGCCGCGGUAAUACGGAGGAUGCGAGCGUUAUCCGGAUUUAGUGGGUUUAAAGGGGGCGAAGGCGGAGGUGCAAGUCAGCGGGAAAAUUGCGGGGCUCAACCCCGUACUGCCGUUGAAACUGCAUGCCUUGAGUGCGCGGGAAGUAUGCGGAAUGCGUCGUGUAGCGGUGAAAUGCAUAGAUAUGACGAAGAACUCCGAUUGCGAAGGCAGCAUACCGGCGCGCAACUGACGCUCAUGCACGAAAGCGCGGGUAUCGAACAGGAUUAGAUACCCCUGUAGUC
RNAcentral lists this ribosomal RNA (459 nucleotides) under uncultured bacterium. RNAcentral's name for it is "partial 16S ribosomal RNA". It matches the Rfam family "Bacterial small subunit ribosomal RNA", at positions 338 to 795 of the family's 1533-position model. The record is from RNAcentral.